UCAAGCGAACAAGUGCAUGUGGUGGAUGCCUUGGCGAUCACAGGCGAUGAAGGACGCGGUAGCCUGCGAAAAGCUUCGGGGAGCUGGCAAACAAGCUUUGAUCCGGAGAUGUCCGAAUGGGGAAACCCGGCCCGUAUGGGUCAUCCCACACUGAAUUCAUAGGUGUGGGAAGCGAACGCGGCGAACUGAAACAUCUAAGUAGCUGCAGGAACAGAAAUCAACCGAGAUUCCCAAAGUAGUGGCGAACGAAAUGGGAAGAGCCUUGUACUCUUUAGCAGUGGUGUUAGCAGAACGGGAUGGAAAGCCCGGCCAUAGCAGGUGAUAGCCCUGUAUGCGAAAACACGAUUGUGGAACUAGGUGUACGACAAGUAGGGCGGGACACGUGAAAUCCUGUCUGAAGAUGGGGGGACCAUCCUCCAAGGCUAAAUACUCGUGAUCGACCGAUAGUGAACCAGUACCGUGAGGGAAAGGCGAAAAGAACCCCGGGAGGGGAGUGAAAUAGAUCCUGAAACCGCAUGCAUACAAACAGUCGGAGCCCUUUCGGGGGUGACGGCGUACCUUUUGUAUAAUGGGUCAGCGACUUACAUUCAGUGGCAAGCUUAACCGAUUAGGGAAGGCGUAGCGAAAGCGAGUCCGAACAGGGCGUUGAGUCGCUGGGUGUAGACCCGAAACCAGAUGAUCUAUCCAUGGCCAGGUUGAAGGUGCGGUAACACGUACUGGAGGACCGAACCCACUAACGUUGAAAAGUUAGGGGAUGAGCUGUGGAUAGGGGUGAAAGGCUAAACAAAUCUGGAAAUAGCUGGUUCUCUCCGAAAACUAUUUAGGUAGUGCCUCGUGUCUCACCUUCGGGGGUAGAGCACUGUCAUGGUUGGGGGGUCUAUUGCUGAUUACCCCGCCAUAGCAAACUCCGAAUACCGAAGAGUGCAAUCACGGGAGACAGACAUCGGGUGCUAACGUCCGGUGUCAAGAGGGAAACAACCCAGACCGCCAGCUAAGGUCCCCAAAUAUAGCUAAGUGGGAAACGAAGUGGGAAGGCUAAAACAGUCAGGAGGUUGGCUUAGAAGCAGCCACCCUUUAAAGAAAGCGUAAUAGCUCACUGAUCGAGUCGUCCUGCGCGGAAGAUGUAACGGGGCUAAGCUAUAUACCGAAGCUGCGGACGCACGCAAGUGCGUGGUAGGAGAGCGUUCUGUAAGCCUGUGAAGGUGUCUUGUAAAGGAUGCUGGAGGUAUCAGAAGUGCGAAUGCUGACAUGAGUAGCGAUAAAGGGGGUGAAAGGCCCCCUCGCCGUAAGCCCAAGGUUUCCUACGCAACGUUCAUCGGCGUAGGGUGAGUCGGCCCCUAAGGCGAGGCAGAGAUGCGUAGCUGAUGGGAAGCAGGUUAAUAUUCCUGCACCGUCGUAUGAUGCGAUGGGGGGACGGAUCGCGGAAGGUUGUCCGGGUGUUGGAAGUCCCGGUCCCUGCAUUGGAGAAGGCGCUCAGGCAAAUCCGGGCGCGGGAUUCAAGGAUGUGGGGCGAGCGGCCUAGUGCUGCGAAGCAAUUGGAAGUGGUUCCAAGAAAAGCCUCUAAGCUUCAGUCAUACGAGACCGUACCGCAAACCGACACAGGUGGGCGAGAUGAGUAUUCUAAGGCGCUUGAGAGAACUCGGGAGAAGGAACUCGGCAAAUUGGUACCGUAACUUCGGGAUAAGGUACGCCCUGGUAGCUUGACUGGCCUGCGCCAGAAGGGUGAAGGGGUUGCAAUAAAAUGGUGGCUGCGACUGUUUAAUAAAAACACAGCACUCUGCAAACACGAAAGUGGACGUAUAGGGUGUGACGCCUGCCCGGUGCCGGAAGAUUAAAUGAUGGGGUGCAAGCUCUUGAUUGAAGUCCCGGUAAACGGCGGCCGUAACUAUAACGGUCCUAAGGUAGCGAAAUUCCUUGUCGGGUAAGUUCCGACCUGCACGAAUGGCGUAACGAUGGCCACACUGUCUCCUCCCGAGACUCAGCGAAGUUGAAGUGUUUGUGAUGAUGCAAUCUCCCCGCGGCUAGACGGAAAGACCCCAUGAACCUUUACUGUAGCUUUGCAUUGGACUUUGAACCGAUCUGUGUAGGAUAGGUGGGAGGCUUUGAAGCGUGGACGCUAGUUCACGUGGAGCCGUCCUUGAAAUACCACCCUGGUUUGUUUGAGGUUCUAACCUUGGCCCGUGAAUCCGGGUCGGGGACAGUGCAUGGUAGGCAGUUUGACUGGGGCGGUCUCCUCCCAAAGUGUAACGGAGGAGUUCGAAGGUACGCUUGGUACGGUCGGACAUCGUACCUAAAGUGCAAUGGCAAAAGCGUGCUUAACUGCGAGACCGACAAGUCGAGCAGGUGCGAAAGCAGGACAUAGUGAUCCGGUGGUUCUGAAUGGAAGGGCCAUCGCUCAACGGAUAAAAGGUACUCUGGGGAUAACAGGCUGAUACCGCCCAAGAGUUCAUAUCGACGGCGGUGUUUGGCACCUCGAUGUCGGCUCAUCUCAUCCUGGGGCUGUAGCCGGUCCCAAGGGUAUGGCUGUUCGCCAUUUAAAGAGGUACGUGAGCUGGGUUUAAAACGUCGUGAGACAGUUUGGUCCCUAUCUGCCGUGGGCGUUGGAAUCUUGACGGGGGCUGCUCCUAGUACGAGAGGACCGGAGUGGACGUACCGCUGGUGUACCUGUUGUCUCGCCAGAGGCAUCGCAGGGUAGCUAUGUACGGAAGAGAUAACCGCUGAAAGCAUCUAAGCGGGAAACUCGCCUGAAGAUGAGGAUUCCCUGGAGGCUUGACCUCCUUGAAGGGUCGUUCGAGACCAGGACGUUGAUAGGCUGGGUGUGGAAGCGCAGUAAUGCGUUAAGCUAACCAGUACUAAUUGCCCGUAAGGCUUGAUCCU
This 2877-nucleotide ribosomal RNA is filed under the name Cupriavidus taiwanensis. RNAcentral's name for it is "bacterial LSU rRNA". It matches the Rfam family "Bacterial large subunit ribosomal RNA". Lineage: Bacteria; Pseudomonadati; Pseudomonadota; Betaproteobacteria; Burkholderiales; Burkholderiaceae. The record is from RNAcentral.